CACGUAGGGGGCAGGCGUUGUCCGGAUUUAUUGGGCGUAAAGAGCGUGUAGGCGGCCUUACAGGUCAGCUGUGAAAACUCGAGGCUCAACCUCGAGACGUCGGUUGAAACCGUAAGGCUAGAGUCCGGAAGAGGAGAGUGGAAUUCCCGGUGUAGCGGUGAAAUGCGCAGAUAUCGGGAAGAACACCCGUGGCGAAGGCGGCUCUCUGGGACGGUACUGACGCUGAGACGCGAAAGCGUGGGGAGCGAACAGG
This 253-nucleotide ribosomal RNA is filed under the name uncultured bacterium. Its description in RNAcentral is "partial 16S ribosomal RNA". It matches the Rfam family "Bacterial small subunit ribosomal RNA", at positions 524 to 776 of the family's 1533-position model. The record is from RNAcentral.